AUGUGAUUGAUGCCACCAAGAAUGGGAAUGUUUCACGGUUCAUCAAUCACAGCUGCAUGCCAAAUCUCAUGAACCACCAAGUUCUUAUCAACAGCAUGGAUUCUCAGCAUGCUCAUAUUGGUCUGUAUGCAAGUCGAGNNCUUCUGGUGAAGAACUAACGUACAAUUUUCUGUAUGAUCUGCUGCCUGGAGAAGGGUAUCCUUGCCAUUGUGAAACUUCCAAGUGCAGAGGGCGCCUUCGCUAAAUCGUACUAAAUCUUGAUGGACAUUGAGUUCUUGUGGUCUUGUCUGCGAAUAAUAAGGGAGACGGGAGAUUUGAGUCCAUUCCCUGCAAGCCAAAUUUAUGGGCAGACCAAAUCAUGAGUAGCUCAUUGAG
RNAcentral lists this unclassified non-coding RNA (375 nucleotides) under Hevea brasiliensis (rubber tree). The record is from RNAcentral. Lineage: Eukaryota; Viridiplantae; Streptophyta; Magnoliopsida; Malpighiales; Euphorbiaceae.